AUCCGGCGCAGGCGUAGGAAAUUUGAGAAGACCUGUCCUUAGUACGAGAGGACCGGGAUGGACGUACCUCUGGUGUACCAGUUGUCCUGCCAAGGGCAUGGCUGGGUAGCUAUGUACGGAAUGGAUAAGCGCUGAAAGCAUCUAAGCGCGAAGCCAACUUCAAGAUAAGAUUUCCCACCGCAAGGGUAAGACCCCAGAAAGACUAUCUGGUUGAUAGGUCGAAGGUGUAAGUGCAGCAAUGUAUUUAGCUUAUCGAUACUAAUAGGUCGAGGACUUGACCAAU
Molecule: ribosomal RNA, 283 nt
Filed under: Clostridioides difficile
Lineage: Bacteria; Bacillati; Bacillota; Clostridia; Peptostreptococcales; Peptostreptococcaceae
Description: partial 23S ribosomal RNA
Rfam family: Bacterial large subunit ribosomal RNA
Source: RNAcentral